Molecule: long non-coding RNA, 530 nt
Organism: Brassica oleracea var. oleracea
Lineage: Eukaryota; Viridiplantae; Streptophyta; Magnoliopsida; Brassicales; Brassicaceae
Exons: 3
Source: RefSeq, a predicted model, not a curated record
UAGCCCUGCCCCCUCUCUAUCUAUGCGAAGAGAAAAAAUUUGGAAUAAGAUAUGUGGAGAGAUGGAUUCCAACGCUAACGAAGAAGGAAAUCGACCGGAUGAUCAGAGACACGAUCGAUAUAGUGCUUAUGUUGCGAUUUGGCCGUAGCUCCGAUAAAGAUUUUCCUCACCUUGAUGACAUGUUAUACCUUCACUUUGAUUUCUCUCUCUGAAUCAAUUUUUUUUUUCUUUUUGUUUUCACGUCUCUAUUCACCCAAAAUCCCUAAUUUCAAAAAAUUUCAGCUUGGCAAAUCGGCGAGAGAUGUCUCGAAUUUGCUACGGUAGCUUUGGUUGAUGCCGAUUCGGAUCAAGUUGAAGUUUAUAUCAAUAUUGCGGAUCAUACUAUGGAUUGGUAAGUUUCACCAGAAACAAGACUUUAUUAAUGUUGUUGAGUUGUGUACAGAUCCGACCAUGUACAAAGGAACGAUGAAAGUGGAGGUGAUUGUUCAUUGCCAGAAAAUACCAAAUUACCAACUCUUAUACAAGAAUGU